Molecule: RNA transcript, 4713 nt
Organism: Antechinus flavipes (yellow-footed antechinus)
Lineage: Eukaryota; Metazoa; Chordata; Mammalia; Dasyuromorphia; Dasyuridae
Exons: 2
Source: RefSeq, a predicted model, not a curated record
UUGGGGGACGUGAGCCUAGUACUGAGAAGGCUCUCCUGGGAUCAGAGGAAGGGGCCUCUGGGUGCCAGUGGCUGGAAGCCCACUCAAGGCGCCUUCUGGAGGAAGGGACUGGGCAAAUCUGACUAAAAAGUCCUUGACUGGGCCUUCCCAGGCAAUGAAAGACCCCCAAACUCUGGAUUCAAGGGUCGUCGGGAAGGGACCAUAUGUCAGGGAGAAGCUUGGCAGCGGGCUGGAUGGGAAGUAAAAGGCUGCCACUGGAGCUGGGGAGCUGGAACCUUGUUAUGUGUUCCAUCGGGGCCUGCCCAUGGAGCAUCCUAGCCAGGGUCCUCUCCCCGCUGGGCAAGGAUGCUCCAGUCCCCUCCUGGGAUGGCAGGCACCCAGGCUUCUGUGGCGCUCUGGGUGAGGUCACCUCUCCCAGAGGGAGGGGAGGGAAGGGCCGAGGCUGGGGCCGGCCGGGGCACCCUCCCUCCUAUCUCCCCCUUAACCCGACAUCCUGGGGCGGGGCCUCUGCCCUGGCAAAGGAGCUCAUUACCAUGGCGACCGCCUGGAGUGCUGCCUCCCUGGGAACCUGGCCCAGGGCCACCUCAUUCCUGCUAGGCUUAACAGACAGCCUUCCAGCCUGGCACUGGCCCUCGGGUGGGGAGUGGGAAGCUGGGGGCAGGGCCCCUCACCUCCAGGGCCACGCAAUGUGGCCUCCACCUCCCUGAAUCUUCCCCCCAACACUUGGAGGGGAACCUGGGCCUAGAAGGAACCUAAGGGACCCACAGACCUGGGCUCGGUUCCGUCCAGAUGAGGAGGCCGAGGGCAAUUCUACUGCUUGGGAAUCAGGACUUUUGUUUCUCCAGAUUACCUUGUUGGGGCUGCUGAGCCCCUUCCCCAAAUCAUGUAUUUAAAAUACACAGAAUUAGGGCAGCUGGCCCCUCCUCCCCCCUGCUGUCAGGAGAACCUGAAUUCAAAUUUUGCCUCAGACAAGCUUGACACUUAUUAGCUGUGUGAUCCUAGGCAAGUCAUUUAACCCAGAUAAUCUUGCAAAAAAAAUGUAAAAUUAAAAGCAGAUCCCAAAGGAGACCAAUUCUAUUGAAAUGCAGUUUUCAAACUAUUUGUGGACUUCUAGAUGAGAUGAAUGUUGUGAUUUUUUUUUUCUAGCUUUCUAAAGUAAUCAUUGGCUUUGAACAAGUAGGUCCCAUUCACAGCAACUCUGGUGACCUUCCCCACUGCUGUGGACCAUUGUCUUUAUACCUACUCUUGCCCUAGAAAUCCCACAGGGGAAGAAACUGAAGCCCUCGCCCACCUGCCUCCCUUUUCCCAUCCAGGGGUCUCAGCUGAGUCCUCACAAGGCACAGCCCCCAGGUGAGGGGCCGCUAACCGGCAGAAACCCAUCCCAUCCCCCACCUUCCCAGGCCAGCUGGCUGGGGGAGAACAGCCACUCCCACGCAGAGCAAUUAGGAAUUAAGUGCUUGUGGCUUGAGUGGGCUGGAGGAUGUGGGCAAAGGGGUGUGAGCUUCUUGGUUAGAGGAGGGACCAGCGAGUCUUUUGUGCCUGACUUUAAGGUACACAUAGUAGGUGAUUUACUGGAUUGUAAUUCAUUUGAGGGCAGGGCCUAGUGUAGGAGGAGAGCCUCCCUUCACCUCCCAGUUCCCCACCUAAUCUCCAGCCCGGGGCCCAUCCCUCUUGAACUCCCUUUGCUCACCCGGGACUCUGCCCUCUAUUCACGGGGCCUUCUAUUUUCCUUUCCCUGUAGCCCCGGCACUCAGCUCGGGGCCGGGCCUGUAGUUAAGGGCUUAGUACAUGCUGACUGACUGAUUACUGCUCCUCCCUCCACUCAGACCACAGCGGAAAUAUCAGGGCUUUUUUGGGGAGGGGAUGGGAGGUCUGCACAGAUUUCAUUUAGUCAGUUUAAUUACACGAAUAACAAUAGUAUGUGAUGUUUAAAAAGUGCUGUAAGAUUUGCAAAGUGCUUUACAAAUAUCUUAACCUAAUUCUCUGGGGGUAGGCGUCUUUCUUACAAAAUAGCAAAAUCCCUCCCGGCACUUGGCUCCCCAUUCUUCUCCCACCUCAAUUUCUCCCCAGCCCCUGGCUCUUUCCUGCUUGCUUAUGGGCUCUCUGGUCUGCCCAGAUGGAUUCUUCCAUCAUCCCUACCUCCUUCCUUUCUCUACUUUUCUUUUUUCCUUUUUCCUUCCUUCCCUUUGUUUCUUUUUUCCUUCUUCCUUCCUUCCCUUUGUUUCUUUUUUCCUUCUUCCUUCCUUCCCUUUGUUUUUUUUCCCUUUCUUCCUUCUCUUUUCUGUCUUCCUUUCCUCCUUUCUUUUCUGUUUUCCUUUUUUCUUUGCCCUGGGGCACCAUCCACUCACCAGUCUGGUCUCACUCCUACUGUAAGUCUCCUUAGGUUCCCAAAGACUCACAAUCCCUAUAUAGAUCUUGGUUUAAAAUAUUUAAUACAGCUCAGAAUUCCCAAGAUUAAUGGCUCCACAGCCCAGGCUUCCCAGCAGCAGGGACUACAGGCCUUUGCCACUCCAGCUAAUUCUAAAAAGCCUUCCCUUGCCCUCUGAAGCCCAUCCAGCUACCAUCCCCAGUCCCGCCUCUUCCCCCACUCCCCACUUUGCUGCUAAACUUCCUGAGAAAGGUGGGAUACCCCUACUUUCUCUCUCCUUGCCCUUUUGCAAUCCAACUUCUGGCCCACCAUCUGUCUGCUGAAAUUUCUUUUUUUUUAAGGUUACCAAUGGCCUAAUUGCUAAAUUUAAGUAGCUUCCCUUCCCGCUUCCCCUCUUUCCUGGAUCCUCCUUGUAACUUCUGACAUGGCUGGCCAUCUUCUUCCCCUUUCAAGGUCACAACCGCCCCACUCUUGGUCUUGACUUUUCUCUCUCCUAAGCAGGCUUUCCAUUUUCUUCCUAAUCUCCUUUUUUCUUUCUUUCUUUCUUUUUUUUUUUUUAAAGCAAUCAGGGUUAAAUGACUCUCUCAGGGUCACAGCUAUUAAGGGGAGGCCACAUUUGAACUCGGGUCCACUUGACUCCAAGCUUGGUGUUCUAUCCACCGCCCUCCCUAGCUGCCCCCUCUCCUGACCUUUUAAUGGGGAUGGUCCCCCAAGAUUUGUCCUUGGUGCUUUCCCCCUCCAUGCAUGAUUUCCCUGGCCACUCCUUUUCUCCCAUCCCCUAGCAGUUGACUCCUGGGUCUGUCUCCAGGGCUACUUUCCCUUCUAAUCCUUCCGCUUGCAAUUCCAUUGUCUACAAGGCCAGGAAAGGAAAGGAGUUUGGGGCUUGUUUUAGCCAGCCCUUUUAUUUUAUAAAUGAGAAAACGGGCCUAGAAGGCCAGGGUUUCUUUUCUAUUUCACACUCUGCCUGAAUCUUCCACCAAAAUCCUUGCUCCUUUAGGGUCAAUGUCAGAAAACGGUUCCUAACAAUGGGAACUUUCGCUCAGGGAACUGGGCUGCCGCCGGGCCUGGUGAGCUACCCUCUCUGCCAUGGGCAAAGGCCGUUGUGUCGGAGGGGGGGAUUCCUGCCAGGGACGGGUAGCCUCCGGUGUCCUUCCAGCUCUGGGAUUUCAGUGAUAACUUCCACUGCAAGAUGACCCAUCAGGGGAGUUUUACAAUGGAGAAAAAGGGAGAGGGCCGAGAGAGGGGGGUAAGAGGAGGCCGGGCAGAGAGCCGAGGUCCAGGGGAAGGGCCAGUCCGGUGGUGGAGGAUGGAGGGAUCCGACCAUGGCCAUCUCUGUGGGCCCGAGGCAGCUCUAGGAGAGCUCAGACACGUGACCGGAGCCUUGGAAGUGGAGCGACCCAGGGCAGCACUGCCUAGAGCCCACAGGUUCCUGCCCAUGACUGAGCAAAUGAGUCCGGGCAGGUCCUGGCUGACCCACCGGCUCCCUUACUCUCCGCUUCCUCUCCCACCCGCGCUCCGCGGAGCUCCGGCCACAGCCACACAUCCCCAAUGCUUCCGGCGCUCACCGUCUCGUGUCAGGCCCAGAUCCCGCUGCCCGGCCUUCCAGGCCCUGCCGGAGCUGCCCCGUGUCCCAGGCCUGACUCAUGCAGCUCUAUUCUGAGAAACUCCUCUGCCCGAUGGGUCCCUGUGCCUUCUGACCUCCGCGCUUUGGCUGGAAGCAUUUUCCUGGAAGGCUCCCCCUCAUCUGGCACCUGUGUAAUUCCUUCUCGAAGCAGCUUCCCAACUGCCCUGGCUCCAGACUUUCUGGAAUACUUCUUUUACUCUACUUUGUGAAAUUCUCAUCGUUUGGGAGAGACUAGGUGGAAAAAAGUCCGUCUUCAGAGGUAGGAAAACCCGAGUCAAGUCUUUGGCCAAAUUAAUCUCUCAGGGUUUAAGGUAAAUUUAAGACUCUGAGCCCUAAAGAGGGCACUUCUGGGGGUUCCCUAUGCCAAAGAAACCAGGGCCCGCCCCUAUUACUAGUUAAAUAUAUUUGUGUUUUAUUUCUUAUCUAGACUGCAAAAAUGGGCUACAAAUUCAAAUGCAUUUAAUAUUGUGACUCGAGAACUCGAGCAGUUGAAUGGUGAAGUGGACAGAGGGCUGGCCCCGAGUUCAAAUCUAACUUCAGAUACUUCUUAGCAGUAGGAUCCUGGACAAGUCACUUAACCUGCGCGUUUUCUCAUCUGUAAAAUGGAGAUACCUUUGCUCUGCAAUCCGAAGCCCUACAGAAAUUGUCAGUUAUUUGUGUUACAUGGAGUAGAUAAUAGGUGUUUGUUGCAUCUAAUAAACACUGGCUGAAUUGAAGGUGC